CAACAGAGCAAGAGUCUGUCAAAAUAAAAAAGAAGAAAAAAAGAAGAAAGAUUUUAAUUAUUUUUAUCAACAAUUAUACAUUUUCAGUCUACUGUUAUGAAUUGCCACAACUUGGAGGCUUAGAACAACACAAAUUAGUACUCUCACAGUCCUGAAGGCUACAGCUCUGCAAUCAAGAUAUCAGCAAGGCCAUCAUUCCACUAAGGCUCUAAGGAAGAAUCCAUUUUUGCCUCUUCCUGCUUCUGGGAUGCAUCCACUUUAUUAGACGGCAAACUAGAAAAUGCUUCCUACAGUCGCCACAUAAAAAGAAUUAUCAUCAUGCCAAACAAAUUAUCAUCGGUGCCAAUGAUGUGAGAAUUGAGCAGAAAGAGCAAUGCAACAGGUUUUCUUUUCUGGCCAUGCCAAGGUGGAAGGUGAUCUUAAUUGAAGAAAGAAUGCUCAAAGUAGGCAAUGCUAUGUCUUAUCAACAAAUACUUACCAGCAUGUACAUUGCUGCUCAGAAACACAUUUGAUGAUGGAUCAGAAGUUUCCUCCUAUUUAAUGUGGUGAUAAAAAUAACUUCUAAGUAAUUCAGUUCAUAGAACCAUGAAGGACUGGGUUUGAGAUUAUGCUUUGAAUACCAUAAAGUGAUGAACACAGAGACUGAGAAAAAAAGAGGAGGAGAAGGAGUGGAAGGAUAAAUAUGAAGAUGUGGCCUUCCUGACUUUAAGUUUGGCUUAAG
Molecule: long non-coding RNA, 721 nt
Filed under: Homo sapiens (human)
Lineage: Eukaryota; Metazoa; Chordata; Mammalia; Primates; Hominidae
Description: HSALNT0364529
Source: RNAcentral